AGUCGAACGAUGAACCACUUCGGUGGGGAUUAGUGGCGAACGGGUGAGUAAAAGAAAAUAAUCUGCCCUUCACUCUGGGACAAGCCCUGGAAACGGGGUCUAAUACCGGAUAUCACUUGCGCAGGCAUCUGUGCGGGUUGAAAGCUCCGGCGGUGAAGGAUGAGCCCGCGGCCUAUCAGCUUGUUGGUGAGGUAACGGCUCACCAAGGCGACGACGGGUAGCCGGCCUGAGAGGGCGACCGGCCACACUGGGACUGAGACACGGCCCAGACUCCUACGGGAGGCAGCAGUGGGGAAUAUUGCACAAUGGGCGCAAGCCUGAUGCAGCGACGCCGCGUGAGGGAUGACGGCCUUCGGGUUGUAAACCUCUUUCAGCAGGGAAGAAGCGCAAGUGACGGUACCUGCAGAAGAAGCGCCGGCUAACUACGUGCCAGCAGCCGCGGUAAUACGUAGGGCGCUAGCGUUGUCCGGAAUUAUUUGGGCGUAAAGAGCUCGUAGGCGGCUUGUCACGUCGGGUGUGAAAGCCCGGGGCUUUAACCCCGGGUCUGCAUUUCGAUACGGGCAGGCUAGAGUGUGGUAGGGGAGAUCGGAAUUCCUGGUGUAGCGGUGAAAAUGCGCAGAUAUCAGGAGGAGCACCGGUGGCGAAAGGCGGAUCUCUGGGCCAUUACUGACGCUGAGGAGCGAAAGCGUGGGGAGCGAACAGGAUUAGAUACCCUGGUAGUCCACGCCUGUAAAACGGUGGAGACCUAGGUGUUGGCAGACGUUCCACGUCGUCGGUGCCGGCAGCUAACGCAUUAAAGUUCCCCGCCUGGGGAGUCCGGCCGCAAGGUUAAAACUUCAAGGAAUUGAUGGGGGCCCGCACAGCAGCCGGAGCAUUGUGCUUAAUUCGACGCAACCCGAAGAACUUUACUAAGGCUUGACAUACACCGGGAAAGCAUUAGAAGAAGGAGCCCCCCUUGGGUCGGUGUCAGGUGGUUGCAUGGAUUUUCGUCAGCCUCGGUCCGUAGAUGUUUGGUUAAAGUCCCCGCAAACGAAGGGCUAUCCCUUUGGACUGGGUGUUUGCCAAGCGGUGCCCUUUCGGUGUUGAACGGGGAACUCCCCAGGGAAAACUCGCCGGUG
RNAcentral lists this ribosomal RNA (1118 nucleotides) under Streptomyces sp. 9FB1. RNAcentral describes it as "bacterial SSU rRNA". It matches the Rfam family "Bacterial small subunit ribosomal RNA", at positions 60 to 1157 of the family's 1533-position model. The record is from RNAcentral. Lineage: Bacteria; Bacillati; Actinomycetota; Actinomycetes; Kitasatosporales; Streptomycetaceae.